This is a long non-coding RNA of Gigantopelta aegis, 674 nucleotides long. RefSeq lists it as uncharacterized. The transcript is spliced from 4 exons. The record is from RefSeq and is a predicted model, not a curated record. NCBI's taxonomy places the organism in Eukaryota, Metazoa, Mollusca, Gastropoda, Neomphalida, Peltospiridae.
AACAAAAAACACAACAAACAAAAACAAACAAACAACCCACACACAAGUACAACAAACAGAAAUCCAAUCGUUUCGUGAUGUAUGUGCCUUGUAUUUGACGAUAAUAGCCCGGGAGUUGUUUUAUGGUAUGAAGCCCCAUGCUUUGUGAAUUGUUAAUCAUUCCUAUAACAGAAAGUAGAUAUUUCCAGUAGUGUAAAGAUGAUUUAUUUCAAUUUAAUAUAGACACUAUAAAACGAACAGGUGAAAUUGUCUUUUAAUAGAACUUUCACCCAUAUCAAUUGCUGCACUCGAUUCAGCAACUGCUGAACCACAAGGAACGACAGCCGAACUAGAAGCAAUGACAGCCGAAUCAGAAGCAAUGACAGCCGAACCACAAGGAACGACAGAACUGUCACCCAUAUCAAUUGCUGUACUCGAUUCAGCAACUGCUGAACCACAAGGAACGACAGCCGAACCAGAAGCAAUGACAGCCGAACCAGAAGCAAUGACAGCCGAACCACAAGGAACGACAGACAGCAAAGGAGAGGGCUUAAAGGCGUCUUAGGCAACACCUCUCUGAUGAUUGAGAUUAUUUAAAAAUCAGAAAAUGUCCAGAACAGUCAUGUACCUGUUCCUGUUUUCCUUGAGAAGCUAAACCUCGUAAAUUUACCACAAUAAAGAGACAUUAAAGCAUA